This 279-nucleotide ribosomal RNA is filed under the name uncultured bacterium. RNAcentral describes it as "partial 16S ribosomal RNA". It matches the Rfam family "Bacterial small subunit ribosomal RNA", at positions 506 to 784 of the family's 1533-position model. The record is from RNAcentral.
UGCUAGCCGCCGCGGUAAUACGGAGGGGGUUAGCGUUGUUCGGAAUUACUGGGCGUAAAGCGCACGUAGGCGGAUUGGAAAGUUGGGGGUGAAAUCCCGGGGCUCAACCCCGGAACUGCCUCCAAAACUAUCAGUCUAGAGUUCGAGAGAGGUGAGUGGGACUCCGAGUGUAGAGGUGAAAUUCGUAGAUAUUCGGAAGAACGCCAGUGGCGAAGGCGGCUCACUGGCUCGAUACUGACGCUGAGGUGCGAAAGUGUGGGGAGCAAACAGGGUUAGAUG